CACGUAGGGCGCAAGCGUUGUCCGGAAUUAUUGGGCGUAAAGAGCUCGUAGGCGGUCUGUUGCGUCCGCUGUGAAAACUCGGGGCUUAACCCCGAGCCUGCAGUGGAUACGGGCAGACUAGAGGUAGGUAGGGGAGAAUGGAAUUCCCGGUGUAGCGGUGAAAUGCGCAGAUAUCGGGAGGAACACCGGUGGCGAAGGCGGUGCUCUGGGCCUUACCUGACGCUGAGUAGCGAAAGCGUGGGGAGCGAACAGG
This 253-nucleotide ribosomal RNA is filed under the name uncultured bacterium. Its description in RNAcentral is "partial 16S ribosomal RNA". It matches the Rfam family "Bacterial small subunit ribosomal RNA", at positions 524 to 776 of the family's 1533-position model. The record is from RNAcentral.